Molecule: ribosomal RNA, 256 nt
Filed under: uncultured bacterium
Lineage: Bacteria
Description: partial 16S ribosomal RNA
Rfam family: Bacterial small subunit ribosomal RNA
Source: RNAcentral
UAAUACGUAGGGUGCAAGCGUUAAUCGGAAUUACUGGGCGUAAAGCGUGCGCAGGCGGUCUUGUAAGACAGAUGUGAAAUCCCCGGGCUCAACCUGGGACCUGCAUUUGUGACUGCAAGGCUGGAGUACGGUAGAGGGGGAUGGAAUUCCGCGUGUAGCAGUGAAAUGCGUAGAUAUGCGGAGGAACACCGAUGGCGAAGGCAAUCCCCUGGACCUGUACUGACGCUCAUGCACGAAAGCGUGGGGAGCAAACAGG